This 301-nucleotide ribosomal RNA is filed under the name uncultured Desulfobulbus sp. RNAcentral describes it as "bacterial SSU rRNA". It matches the Rfam family "Bacterial small subunit ribosomal RNA", at positions 1080 to 1382 of the family's 1533-position model. The record is from RNAcentral. Lineage: Bacteria; Pseudomonadati; Thermodesulfobacteriota; Desulfobulbia; Desulfobulbales; Desulfobulbaceae.
UUAAGUCCCGCAACGAGCGCAACCCUUGCCUUUAGUUGCCAGCAGUUCGGCUGGGCACUCUAAAGGACUGCCGGUGUUAAACCGGAGGAAGGUGGGGAUGACGUCAAGUCCUCAUGGCCUUUAUGACCAGGGCUACACACGUACUACAAUGGCCGAUACAAAGGGCAGCGACACUGCGAGGUGAAGCCAAUCCCGUAAAAUCGGUCUCAGUCCGGAUUGGAGUCUGCAACUCGACUCCAUGAAGUUGGAAUCGCUAGUAAUCGUGGAUCAGCAUGCCACGGUGAAUACGUUCCCGGGCCUU